This 80-nucleotide transfer RNA is filed under the name Dentipellis sp. KUC8613. It matches the Rfam family "tRNA". From Rfam's summary of the family: Transfer RNA (tRNA) molecules are approximately 80 nucleotides in length. Their secondary structure includes four short double-helical elements and three loops (D, anti-codon, and T loops). Lineage: Eukaryota; Fungi; Basidiomycota; Agaricomycetes; Russulales; Hericiaceae. The record is from Rfam by way of RNAcentral.
UCGGAUAUGGUGUAAUGGCUAACAUUACCGCCUCUCAUCUUCGUGCGCGGUAGCUCGGGGUUCGAUUCCCCGUAUCCGAA